This 75-nucleotide transfer RNA is filed under the name Fibrella aestuarina BUZ 2. RNAcentral's name for it is "tRNA-Thr". It matches the Rfam family "tRNA". Rfam says of the family: Transfer RNA (tRNA) molecules are approximately 80 nucleotides in length. RNAcentral also lists the same sequence under 2 other names. The record is from RNAcentral. Lineage: Bacteria; Pseudomonadati; Bacteroidota; Cytophagia; Cytophagales; Spirosomataceae.
GCCUUCUUAGCUCAGUGGUAGAGCACUUCCUUGGUAAGGAAGAGGUCGUCGGUUCAAAUCCGAUAGAAGGCUCUA